This is a microRNA precursor of Callithrix jacchus (white-tufted-ear marmoset), 88 nucleotides long. NCBI's taxonomy places the organism in Eukaryota, Metazoa, Chordata, Mammalia, Primates, Cebidae. The record is from Ensembl.
UCUCAGCCUGUGACGCUCUGGACAGAAGCGUGUUCUGUUGUCUGAAAGAAAUAGAAAGUGUUUCUGUUCAAAGGAUUACUGUUUGAGA